UCCUGGAGACUCCUACGGGAGGCAGCAGUGGGGAAUCUUCCGCAAUGGACGAAAGUCUGACGGAACAACGCCGCGUGAGUGAUGACGGCCUUCGGGUUGUAAAGCUCUGUUAAUCGAGACGAAAGGCCUUCUUGCGAAUAGCUAGAAGGAUUGACGGUACCGGAAUAGAAAGCCACGGCUAACUACGUGCCAGCAGCCGCGGUAAUACGAAGGUGGCAAGCGUUGUCCGGAAUUAUUGGGCGUGAAGCGCGCGCAGGCGGAUCAGUCAGUCUGUCUUAAAAGUUCGGGGCUUAACCCCGUGAUGGGAUGGAAACUGCUGAUCUAGAGUAUCGGAGAGGAAAGUGGAAUUCCUAGUGUAGCGGUGAAAUGCGUAGAUAUUAGGAAGAACACCAGUGGCGAAGGCGACUUUCUGGACGAAAACUGACGCUGAGGCGCGAAAGCCAGGGGAGCGAACGGGAUUAGAUACCCCAGUAGUCC
RNAcentral lists this ribosomal RNA (477 nucleotides) under uncultured bacterium. Its description in RNAcentral is "bacterial SSU rRNA". It matches the Rfam family "Bacterial small subunit ribosomal RNA", at positions 327 to 796 of the family's 1533-position model. The record is from RNAcentral.